RNAcentral lists this ribosomal RNA (352 nucleotides) under uncultured bacterium. RNAcentral's name for it is "bacterial SSU rRNA". It matches the Rfam family "Bacterial small subunit ribosomal RNA", at positions 976 to 1325 of the family's 1533-position model. The record is from RNAcentral.
UGGAUUUGACAUCCUCUGACAGCCCUGGAAACAGGGUCUGUCCGACUUGUCGGAACAGAGUGACAGGUGCUGCAUGGCUGUCGUCAGCUCGUGUCGUGAGAUGUUGGGUUAAGUCCCGCAACGAGCGCAACCCUUGUUUUUAGUUGCCAGUAUUAAGUUAGGCACUCUAAAGAUACUGCCUCGGUUAACGGGGAGGAAGGUGGGGAUGACGUCAAGUCCUCAUGGCCUUUAUAUCCAGGGCUACACACGUGCUACAAUGGACUGUACAAAGGGUCGCGACAUCGCGAGGUGAAGCUAAUCUCAAAAAACAGUUCUCAGUUCGGAUUGGAGUCUGCAACUCGACUCCAUGAAG